Molecule: ribosomal RNA, 431 nt
Filed under: uncultured bacterium
Lineage: Bacteria
Description: partial 16S ribosomal RNA
Rfam family: Bacterial small subunit ribosomal RNA
Source: RNAcentral
AACGAACGCUGGCGGCAGGCUUAACACAUGCAAGUCGAACGCCCCGCAAGGGGAGUGGCAGACGGGUGAGUAACGCGUGGGAACAUACCCUUUUCUACGGAAUAGCUCUGGGAAACUGGAAUUAAUACCGUAUACGCCCUACGGGGGAAAGAUUUAUCGGGGAAGGAUUGGCCCGCGUUGGAUUAGCUAGUUGGUGGGGUAAAGGCCUACCAAGGCGACGAUCCAUAGCUGGUCUGAGAGGAUGAUCAGCCACAUUGGGACUGAGACACGGCCCAAACUCCUACGGGAGGCAGCAGUGGGGAAUAUUGAACAAUGGGCGCAAGCCUGAUCCAGCCAUGCCGCGUGAGUGAUGAAGGCCUUAGGGUUGUAAAGCUCUUUUACCGAUGAAGAUAAUGACGGUAGUCGGAGAAGAAGCCCCGGCUAACUUCGUG